This is a non-coding RNA of Schistosoma haematobium, 45 nucleotides long. The record is from Rfam. Lineage: Eukaryota; Metazoa; Platyhelminthes; Trematoda; Strigeidida; Schistosomatidae.
AUCCAGCUGACGGGUCCCAACCAUGACGAAACGUGUGUCCUGGAU